UACGUAGGGGGCAAGCGUUGUCCGGAAUCAUUGGGCGUAAAGCGCGUGUAGGCGGCCCGAUAAGUCCGCUGUGAAAGUCCAGGGCUCAACCCUGGGAUGCCGGUGGAUACUGUCGGGCUCGAGUCCGGAAGAGGAGUGUGGAAUUCCUGGUGUAGCGGUGAAAUGCGCAGAUAUCAGGAGGAACACCAAUGGCGAAGGCAGCACUCUGGGACGGUACUGACGCUGAGACGCGAAAGCGUGGGGAGCGAACAGG
RNAcentral lists this ribosomal RNA (253 nucleotides) under uncultured bacterium. Its description in RNAcentral is "partial 16S ribosomal RNA". It matches the Rfam family "Bacterial small subunit ribosomal RNA", at positions 524 to 776 of the family's 1533-position model. The record is from RNAcentral.